GACGAACGCUGGCGGCGUGCUUAACACAUGCAAGUCGAACGGAAAGGCCCUGCUUUUGUGGGGUGCUCGAGUGGCGAACGGGUGAGUAACACGUGAGUAACCUGCCCUUGACUUUGGGAUAACUUCAGGAAACUGGGGCUAAUACCGGCUAGGAGCUCCUGCAGCAUGGUGGGGGUUGGAAAGUUUAGGCGGUUGGGGAUGGACGGCGGGCUUAUCAGCUUGUUGGUGGGGGAGUGGCUUACCAAGGCUUUGACGGGUAGCCGGCCUGGGAGGGUAACCGGCCACAUGGGGCCUGAGGGAGGGCCCAGACGCCUACGGGAGGCAGCGGUGGGGAAUAUUGCCCAGUGGGCGGAAGCGUGAUGCAGCAACGCCGCGGUCGGGAUGACGGCCUUCGGGUGGUAAACCGCUUUCGCCUGUGACGAAGCGUGAGUGACGGUAAUGGGUAAAGAAGCACCGGCUAACUACGUG
Molecule: ribosomal RNA, 468 nt
Filed under: uncultured bacterium
Lineage: Bacteria
Description: partial 16S ribosomal RNA
Rfam family: Bacterial small subunit ribosomal RNA
Source: RNAcentral